Molecule: unclassified non-coding RNA, 425 nt
Filed under: fungal sp.
Lineage: Eukaryota; Fungi
Description: partial internal transcribed spacer region
Rfam family: Eukaryotic small subunit ribosomal RNA (bases 1-45)
Source: RNAcentral
AGUCGUAACAAGGUUUCCGUAGGUGAACCUGCGGAAGGAUCAUUGCACACACAAAACAGUUGCAGCAAACUUUGCGAACUUCAUGAAUGUCCCCCUUUGUGUUUGGGGGGGCCCCUCUGGGGCAUCGUCGUCCUCCUCGCUAUUCCUGGCCAGGAGCCACUACUUAACCAACUCAACUUGAGUUGGUGGGUGGUGGCUUAGUGAGGAUGGUGGUGGUGUCCCGGGGCCUCCUUCCGAACACAUCCAAGUCCCCCCCUUCGGGGGGCGGGCUUGGGCAACCAACCGAUUGCGCAAUGCAUCAACACCUCCAAUAUGACUGAGUAUAAUAAGGCGAUCGGGACGCUGCCUGCCUGCAAAGGCGACGGCGUCCCCGAGUUGUUGUGAUAAACCAAAAACAACUCUCAGCAACGGAUAUCUUGGCUCCU